AACGAACGCUGGCGGCAUGCCUAACACAUGCAAGUCGAACGAGCCCUUCGGGUCUAGUGGCGCACGGGUGCGUAACGCGUGGGAACCUGCCCUUAGGUUCGGAAUAACUCCCCGAAAGGGGUGCUAAUACCGGAUCAUGUCUUCGGACCAAAGAUUUAUCGCCUUUGGAUGGGCCCGCGUUGGAUUAGCUAGUUGGUAGGGUAAAAGCCUACCAAGGCGACGAUCCAUAGCUGGUCUGAGAGGAUGAUCAGCCACACUGGGACUGAGACACGGCCCAGACUCCUACGGGAGGCAGCAGUGGGGAAUAUUGGACAAUGGGCGAAAGCCUGAUCCAGCAAUGCCGCGUGAGUGAUGAAGGCCUUAGGGUUGUAAAGCUCUUUUACCCGGGAUGAUAAUGACGGUACCGGGAGAAUAAGCUCCGGCUAACUCCGUG
RNAcentral lists this ribosomal RNA (433 nucleotides) under uncultured bacterium. RNAcentral describes it as "partial 16S ribosomal RNA". It matches the Rfam family "Bacterial small subunit ribosomal RNA", at positions 29 to 507 of the family's 1533-position model. The record is from RNAcentral.